AACAAGACCUUCUGGAGAAGCCCCAUCUCAUGAGGCUUCUGAGAAAACCUGAGGAAGCCUGGACACAGGCUUCCCAUGGCCAUUCCUUGUCACCAACCCUGAGAGAUACUGGCCGGAAGUCUGGAGUGCUGGGACUGGAACCCUGACCCGAGGCCUGGACCGCCACACUCCCCAUCUUGUUACAGAUUUUUAUUUUUUAUUAUUAGGAAAGUCAGAGGCUGCCAUUCUUUACAGGCUUUUCCCAUUAUGGUGUUAGAGUCUAUAAUUAGGUCUCUAUUAGAAAUCACCAGCAGUGCCCUAAUUCUUAUGUGGGUCAGGAGUCCACAGUGGCCGAGGCGUGGCUUUUUAGCUAUGAAUUCAGUGACUCAGGGAAGCAGGGGACUCUGUUACAAUAGCAGCUAAGCACGCGGCACCCAGCUAAGACAUUUAAUGUGUCCCCACUUAAUCUUCACUGAAACCCCACACGGUGAAGGCUGCUAUUAUCCUCCACACACAGAGGAGGACAAUGGGACUCGGAGAGGUCACAAAGCUUGCUGGGCUCCUGCAGCUGGUGAGUGGGGCCUCAGCAGACAGACUCUGCUCGCCCUCUCUCUGGGCUGACUUCUGCCCAGACGGCCACACCUUCCAGCUGGCCUGUCACCCCUCCCAGUGUGGCGCAGAGUGUGCUUCUGUAGGUAUGGGGCUGAUGGCCGACGGCUUGAAAGGAAUCAUCACCCUGCCCAGUACUGGAAAACAUGACCGAAACACGAACAAAUGGAAGCGAAGCUGCAGUAAGUCUCCUGCUUCUAGAAUAACCAUCUGCAGUUGCAAUUCCAUGAUACCCUGGCAUCUAAGAAGGAGUUUAGGAUCUUGCCUACCAUCUUUAGCUAUUACUUUAUGGGGAGAGGAUAUAUGUUCUGAAUUCCAAAUCCUUCCAAGGUGGUGCUGGAUUCAAUUCAGACUAAGAGGACCAUCAACAAGUCAGAGCAGAAAGGCUUUCAUCUGUGAAUAAUGGGCCACCCUCAACCUCACACCUCCCAGCACCCCCACCAAGAGUCAACAUGAAAAUAAAGGAAGGUAAUGACCAGGAGUGCUCCAGAGGAUUCCACGCAACAGCGCCUCCGAGCAAGGAGUCCUCAGAUCAUAAGGAGGAUUCCAUUUCGAAGUGAUGAGAGG
RNAcentral lists this long non-coding RNA (1155 nucleotides) under Ovis aries (sheep). RNAcentral's name for it is "lncRNA (ENSOARG00000026758.1)". The record is from RNAcentral. Lineage: Eukaryota; Metazoa; Chordata; Mammalia; Artiodactyla; Bovidae.